CAAAGUGCUGUUCGUGCAGGUAGUGUGAUUACCUGACCUACUGCUGAGCUAGCACUUCCCGA
RNAcentral lists this microRNA precursor (62 nucleotides) under Dasypus novemcinctus (nine-banded armadillo). RNAcentral describes it as "microRNA dno-mir-93 precursor". Its record names the gene dno-mir-93. It matches the Rfam family "mir-17 microRNA precursor family", at positions 11 to 80 of the family's 80-position model. Rfam says of the family: This family represents the microRNA (miRNA) precursor mir-17, family, which includes mir-20, mir-91, and mir-103. miRNAs are transcribed as ~70nt precursors (modelled here) and subsequently processed by the Dicer enzyme to give a ~22nt product. In this case the mature sequence comes from the 3' arm of the precursor. Lineage: Eukaryota; Metazoa; Chordata; Mammalia; Cingulata; Dasypodidae. RNAcentral also lists the same sequence under 7 other names. The record is from miRBase by way of RNAcentral.